GUGCUCGCUUCGGCAGCACAUAUACUAAAAUUGGAACAAUAAAGUGAAGAUUAGCAUGGCCCCUGCACAAGGAUGACAUGCAAAUUCGUAAAGCGUUCCAUAUUUUU
This 107-nucleotide small nuclear RNA is filed under the name Sorex araneus (European shrew). The record is from RNAcentral. Lineage: Eukaryota; Metazoa; Chordata; Mammalia; Eulipotyphla; Soricidae.